CUUGACAUCCUCUGACAAUCCUAGAGAUAGGACGUCCCCUUCGGGGGCAGAGUGACAGGUGGUGCAUGGUUGUCGUCAGCUCGUGUCGUGAGAUGUUGGGUUAAGUCCCGCAACGAGCGCAACCCUUGAUCUUAGUUGCCAGCAUUCAGUUGGGCACUCUAAGGUGACUGCCGGUGACAAACCGGAGGAAGGUGGGGAUGACGUCAAAUCAUCAUGCCCCUUAUGACCUGGGCUACACACGUGCUACAAUGGACAGAACAAAGGGCAGCGAAACCGCGAGGUUAAGCCAAUCCCACAAAUCUGUUCUCAGUUCGGAUCGCAGUCUGCAACUCGACUGCGUGAAGCUGGAAUCGCUAGUAAUCGCGGAUCAGCAUGCCGCGGUGAAUACGUUCCCGGGCCUUGUACACACCGCCCGUCACACCACGAGAGUUUGUAACACCCGAAGUCGGUGAGGUAACCUUUUAGGAGCCAGCCGCCGAAGGUGGGACAGAUGAUUGGGGUGAAGUCGUAACAAGGUAGCCGUAUCGGAAGGUGCGGCUGGAUCACCUCCUUUCUA
Molecule: ribosomal RNA, 556 nt
Filed under: Bacillus subtilis
Lineage: Bacteria; Bacillati; Bacillota; Bacilli; Caryophanales; Bacillaceae
Description: bacterial SSU rRNA
Rfam family: Bacterial small subunit ribosomal RNA
Source: RNAcentral